GAACAAUAUCCUCGAUUUGUGGACAUGCCAUACUUGCUUGACACUGAGUUUGGAAAAAUGUUUCCUGGGAAGGCUGACCUCUUUGUUUUAGUUUUUAGUUUCUUAGAGUUUUAUCACAAAUGUAUUUUCACCCACACUUAAAUGCUUAUGCAGUCCAAAGAACAAAUGAAUACAAAGUGAUUAAUUUGAGCAAUGCUGCUGAUGUAAAACCACUUCACAUGAAACCACUUCCUACAAAGAAAACCUUUUUGUAAAUCCAAGAUAUAAAAUUGUUUAAAAAUGUCUUUAUGAAAUUCAAAUGACAUGUGAAUGUUGACUUUGUGAAAAUGUAGCAGUCAAGUUUUAAUAAAUAUAUAUAUUUUUUAAAAA
Molecule: long non-coding RNA, 369 nt
Organism: Sinocyclocheilus rhinocerous
Lineage: Eukaryota; Metazoa; Chordata; Actinopteri; Cypriniformes; Cyprinidae
Exons: 2
Source: RefSeq, a predicted model, not a curated record